UAACAAGUUCUGGAGGAACUGGAGUCAACUUGCUGGUCCUAACUUAUUCGUAAGGAACAAAUGGCAUACCGCCAAGAGAAAUGUCGCAGUCGGGGACAUCGUCUGGAUGGCGGACCAAAACGCCCUUAGGGGUCAGUUCAGGAUUGCAAGAGUGGUUAGCGUCAACUCGGACAGCAAAGGAGUUGUGAGGGACGUCAAUGUCAGAACCUUCCCAAGCUACCCCGUUCCUGUCACAAGGCCUACCGGAGCAAAAGUAAAUCACCGAACAUCUAAGAAAUUCAAAGAAAAGAUCCCAGCAGCAGUUCUUCACAGAGACGUAAGGCGACUAGUGGUCUUGCUUCCCACCGAAGAACAGAACUAAAGAUCUGACCCAAGUUGCACCGUAACAUGCGACCUCCCAGGUGUCUCCACUGGAAGGUCGAGUGGGAGGUGUGAAGUCAACUUGGAAAAUCCCCGCUGGAUAUGAAGGGGUUAAUAUGCAGCGCCGACUGACAGCUGGGGGAAUCCCUCCUCAGAGAAACCUGCUCAGUCUGCUGAAAUGAUGGAGAGACUCCUGCUGGAGGACAUGGCCAGUGAAAAAGAGAUCUUCAACUGUGUGAAGACCUCCUCCGGAUUUUCUUUGACUGUCUGAAACACCAGGAUGUCAUCUCCGAGGACGCGUCCUUCAGGUGGGGGACGAGCAAAGACCCGGCCAAGCAGCUGGGUAUGGGCGUGGCCCUUAAGACCGUCACGGCCUUCUUCACCUGGUUGCGGGAGGCAGAGUCCCAAGACAAUUGACGAGGGGAGACCCCCGGGGAACAUAGCAUAGUGUCCCCCGAAAUAUGCUGCCAUUUUGAGUUUGGAUUCCAACAGCGUAACCACUAAAUACCUGUAACAGACACAGAAAAUAUUUUUGUUUACUUUUCUUUUGCAACUUUACAAGAAGAAACUUGAAAGAUACAUGGGUUCCGACUCUUUCAUUUAUUGUUUUUUAAGGACUGCAAAUAUUGUAAUGCAAAAACAUUAAAGACAAUAAAAAGUAUUUAAAAAUG
Platichthys flesus (European flounder) is the source of this 1031-nucleotide long non-coding RNA. RefSeq lists it as uncharacterized. Lineage: Eukaryota; Metazoa; Chordata; Actinopteri; Pleuronectiformes; Pleuronectidae. The transcript is spliced from 2 exons. The record is from RefSeq and is a predicted model, not a curated record.